Molecule: ribosomal RNA, 735 nt
Filed under: Pedobacter sp.
Lineage: Bacteria; Pseudomonadati; Bacteroidota; Sphingobacteriia; Sphingobacteriales; Sphingobacteriaceae
Description: bacterial SSU rRNA
Rfam family: Bacterial small subunit ribosomal RNA
Source: RNAcentral
ACCGGCGCACGGGUGCGUAACGCGUAUGCAACCUACCUUCAUCUGGGGGAUAGCCCGGAGAAAUCCGGAUUAAUACCGCAUAAAAUCACAGGAUGGCAUUAUCCAAUGAUCAAACAUUUAUGGGAUGGAGAUGGGCAUGCGUGUCAUUAGCUAGUUGGCGGGGUAACGGCCCACCAAGGCGACGAUGACUAGGGGAUCUGAGAGGAUGGCCCCCCACACUGGUACUGAGACACGGACCAGACUCCUACGGGAGGCAGCAGUAAGGAAUAUUGGUCAAUGGAGGCAACUCUGAACCAGCCAUGCCGCGUGCAGGAAGACUGCCCUAUGGGUUGUAAACUGCUUUUAUUCGGGAAUAAACCUUAUUACGUGUAAUAAGCUGAAUGUACCGAAGGAAUAAGGAUCGGCUAACUCCGUGCCAGCAGCCGCGGUAAUACGGAGGAUCCAAGCGUUAUCCGGAUUUAUUGGGUUUAAAGGGUGCGUAGGCGGCCUGUUAAGUCAGGGGUGAAAGACGGUAGCUCAACUAUCGCAGUGCCCUUGAUACUGAUGGGCUUGAAUGGACUAGAGGUAGGCGGAAUGAGACAAGUAGCGGUGAAAUGCAUAGAUAUGUCUCAGAACACCGAUUGCGAAGGCAGCUUACUAUGGUCUUAUUGACGCUGAGGCACGAAAGCGUGGGGAUCAAACAGGAUUAGAUACCCUGGUAGUCCACGCCCUAAACGAUGAACACUCGCUGUUGGC